UACAACAGAAGUAAAAUGUUGCUUUGUACCUGGUGUCUUUUAUUAAGAAUUUACUCCCCCCAUUUCUCACAGAGAAUAACAGUCAGGAGUCAUUGUCACAAUAUAAUAGAAAUGUUAGCAACCAGAUUCAUGUAAGGACUAAGUGGUCCUCAUGAAUUGCAUUAAGACUGUAUUGCUCAUAUUACACUCCAUCCUCUCUGUAGUUUGCUGGGUAGCGGAGGGGGUAAGCUAAAUCAUAGUUUCUGACAAUAACUGGGAAGGCUUUUUCUUAAGUAACAAUGGAAUUGGUUUAAUUGGGAUUGAAAACUAAAACUUGGAACUAAGAUAGAGAAGAUGUAGUGUGUGUAGAAGGGCUGUUAAAAAUGUAAAACUUGGUUGCAUUAUUUGUGGAGGCUCAAACUUGUGAAGGCUAAAUACCAUAAUUUUUCCAUUUGUUCUGCAUUUUGAUUCUGAAAAGAAAGCUGGCUUUGCCCAUUUCUUACUAAAAAAACUUGUAAAUCCAAAAAA
This 507-nucleotide long non-coding RNA is filed under the name Homo sapiens (human). Its description in RNAcentral is "HSALNT0340805". The record is from RNAcentral. Lineage: Eukaryota; Metazoa; Chordata; Mammalia; Primates; Hominidae.